Molecule: ribosomal RNA, 194 nt
Filed under: uncultured bacterium
Lineage: Bacteria
Description: partial 16S ribosomal RNA
Rfam family: Bacterial small subunit ribosomal RNA
Source: RNAcentral
AAAUUCGCCUUCAUGAAGCCGGAAUUGCUAGUAAUGGCAGGUCAGCAUACUGCCGUGAAUACGUUCCCCGGGCCCUUGUACACACCGCCCGUCACACCAUGAGAGUUGGGAAUACCCGAAGCCUGUGAGCUAACUUUUAGAGGCAGCAGUCGAAGGUAGAAUCAAUGAUUGGGGUGAAGUCGUAACAAGGUAUC